AACCGAUUUGGUCCUGGUCCUCCUGUCAGCUACUCCUAGGGUGAUACAUGCAAACAAUUAUGAAAACGGUGAGAAAAAAUUUGACUAAACUACUAAAUAAAUCAAUAAAAAAGGUAUCAGGACUCAAAAACUUGAAACCCAAAACACCUAGGAAACCAAACUUCUCCCACACCUGCAGUACUUAACAUUAUACAAUAAGCAACAGCUUGAUAUAGCCAUAGGAUAAAUAAGCCGGUAAAUUAUGUGCCAGCCACCGCGGUUAUACAUAAGACCACAGCUGACAAAAAUCCGGUGUAAAGAUGAUAAAAUAAACCAAGAUUAACGCCUCCUCCAGCAGUAACAAGCUAACAGGACAUUAAAAACAAAAUCCAUCUUAUAAUAAAGACCAUAAAAAUCACCAAAGCUCAAAAAUAAACUGGGAUUAGAUACCCCACUAUAUGAGCCUUAAAAUACCAAAACACCAGAGAACUACGAACAAAAGUUUAAAACUCAAAGGACUUGGCGGUUUUCUAGACCUCCCUGGAGGAGCUUGCUAUCUAACCGAUAACCCCCGUAAGACCUCACCAACCUUUGCCACCCUACAGCCUGUAUACCAUCGUCGUCAGUAUACCCUUUAAAGAAAGUAUACAAAAUGAAACUAAAUUACUCACCGCAACGUCAGAUCGAGGUGCAGCUAAUAGGUUGGGGAUAAGUGAGCUACAAUAAUCAACCACUCUCAAACCACAAUAUGAACAACCUAAUGAAACCGUGGUUAGAAACAGGAUUCAGCAGUAACAGCCAAAAGAAAGUGGAUGUGAAAUUACACCCAGCUCUAGAAUGCGCACACAUCGCCCGUCACUCUCGUCCUCAGAGGAGAAAAGUCGUAACAAAGUAGGUGUAUUGGAAAAUGCACCUGGAACAAC
RNAcentral lists this non-coding RNA (902 nucleotides) under Goniodiscaster scaber. The record is from RNAcentral. Lineage: Eukaryota; Metazoa; Echinodermata; Asteroidea; Valvatida; Goniasteridae.